GGAGCUGUGGCUCAGUGGUAGAGUGCUUGCCUGGCAUGUGUGAGGCACUAGGUUUGAUCCUCAGCACCA
RNAcentral lists this transfer RNA (69 nucleotides) under Ictidomys tridecemlineatus (thirteen-lined ground squirrel). RNAcentral describes it as "Spermophilus tridecemlineatus (thirteen-lined ground squirrel) tRNA". It matches the Rfam family "tRNA". From Rfam's summary of the family: Transfer RNA (tRNA) molecules are approximately 80 nucleotides in length. Their secondary structure includes four short double-helical elements and three loops (D, anti-codon, and T loops). The record is from Rfam by way of RNAcentral. Lineage: Eukaryota; Metazoa; Chordata; Mammalia; Rodentia; Sciuridae.